GACGAACGCUGGCGGCGUGCUUAACACAUGCAAGUCGAGCGGAAAGGCCCUGCUUUUGUGGGGUGCUCGAGUGGCGAACGGGUGAGUAACACGUGAGUAACCUGCCCUUGACUUUGGGAUAACUUCAGGAAACUGGGGCUAAUACCGGAUAGGAGCUCCUGCUGCAUGGUGGGGGUUGGAAAGUUUCGGCGGUUGGGGAUGGACUCGCGGCUUAUCAGCUUGUUGGUGGGGUAGUGGCUUACCAAGGCUUUGACGGGUAGCCGGCCUGAGAGGGUGACCGGCCACAUUGGGACUAAGGUAAUGCCCAGACUCCUACGGGAGGCAACAGUGGGGAAUAUUGCACGAUGGGCGGAAGCCUGAUGCAGCAACGCCGCGUGCGGAAUGACGGCCUUCAGGUUGUAAACCGCUUUCGCCUGUGACGAAGCGUGAGUGACGGUAAUGGGUAAAGAAGCACCGGCUAACUACGUG
Molecule: ribosomal RNA, 468 nt
Filed under: uncultured bacterium
Lineage: Bacteria
Description: partial 16S ribosomal RNA
Rfam family: Bacterial small subunit ribosomal RNA
Source: RNAcentral